GACGUUAGCCACCUCGGCUGGCGUUUCCUCCCUAAACUUUCAGCCCGCCCGGCAUCCGUCUGGCGGGUUCUUUCUUGCCAAUC
This 83-nucleotide small RNA is filed under the name Allobosea lathyri. Its description in RNAcentral is "Bosea lathyri suhB". Lineage: Bacteria; Pseudomonadati; Pseudomonadota; Alphaproteobacteria; Hyphomicrobiales; Alloboseaceae. The record is from RNAcentral.